AUUGAACGCUGGCGGCAUGCUUUACACAUGCGAGUCGAACGGCAGCGCGGGCUUCGGCCUGGCGGCGAGUGGCGAACGGGUGAGUAAUACAUCGGAACGUGCCCAGUAGUGGGGGAUAGCUCGGCGAAAGCCGGAUUAAUACCGCAUACGACCUGAGGGUGAAAGCGGGGGAUCUUCGGACCUCGCGCUAUUGGAGCGGCCGAUGGCAGAUUAGCUAGUUGGUGGGGUAAAGGCCUACCAAGGCGACGAUCUGUAGCUGGUCUGAGAGGACGACCAGCCACACUGGGACUGAGUCACGGCCCAGACUCCUACGGGAGGCAGCAGUGGGGAAUUUUGGACAAUGGGCGAAAGCCUGAUCCAGCAAUGCCGCGUGUGUGAUGAAGGCCUUCGGGUUGUAAAGCACUUUUGGCGGGAACGAAAAGGACUGUGCCAAUACCACGGUUCGAUGACGGUACCCGCAGAAUAAGCACCGGCUAACUACGUG
Molecule: ribosomal RNA, 484 nt
Filed under: uncultured bacterium
Lineage: Bacteria
Description: partial 16S ribosomal RNA
Rfam family: Bacterial small subunit ribosomal RNA
Source: RNAcentral